CCCAGGGCUCCUAAGCAACGGCGGCGGCGCGCGUAUAUUACCUCAUAAAGAAAAGCAGGAAACUCCCAAUCCGUUCACCAUAGAAACGCGAUAGAAACGCCGUUGACCGGUGUCCGUUAGUCUCCGGAGAGGGGGCUGGGCGAGGGGACCAGAAGUGAAAGAAGUUUAGCGAAGUAAGUUAGGCCCUGAAGAGGUCGCUGCAGGUUCAGGAGAGAACCAGGUCGGUGUGAGGGUCGGUCUGUAGAAUAGGCGGGGACCGGGGAUGGUCUGUUGGCCUUUCGGUGGGUUGUGGCUCUUCUGAGUCCGUGAAGGUAGCUUGGGGAUGGUGGUUUUUUGGCUUUGGUUUUUUGGGGUUUUUCGUUUUUUUUGGAAAGGAACAGGGAAGAGUCUGUGCUGGGUAUCUGUGAUCGGGGCGUCCUUGGGGUCCAUCAAAGGGGACUCUGGUGGUUAACGAUUAAACGUCUGAACAGAUGAAGCUGUCCUGAGGUCAGCGUUCAGGGUCUUCACGGGCCACUCUCCCUGCAGGUGACUGACACCUGGUUGGAGGGGCGGGGGGCGCUUGUCGAAAGAGUGCGGCUUCUUGUUCAGGGUCUCGAAGAAUUUGGAGCCCGAAGGUCGAAGAACCGUUAAGGAGGUCCGCGUGCGCGUGUAUCAGCUCACAGGUCCCAGCAAGGGACAAGAAAUGAACAAAGAAAGAGGAGGUUCCAGGACCUAGAUAUUGUUAUGUCUGGGGACCCAUUGUCGACUCUGAUAUCUCACUAGGAAUUUCAGGUAUAUCGAGACACAAAGACGGAGCCUCUGCAUUGCCAGCUAUUUUCAGAGAACAGAAGAAAAUGAUCCAGGCCCAGGUCCACACCCAUGGGAUAUGGAAAAC
Phacochoerus africanus (Common warthog) is the source of this 874-nucleotide long non-coding RNA. RefSeq lists it as uncharacterized. The record is from RefSeq and is a predicted model, not a curated record. The transcript is spliced from 3 exons. Lineage: Eukaryota; Metazoa; Chordata; Mammalia; Artiodactyla; Suidae.